This 316-nucleotide ribosomal RNA is filed under the name uncultured bacterium. RNAcentral describes it as "bacterial SSU rRNA". It matches the Rfam family "Bacterial small subunit ribosomal RNA", at positions 29 to 350 of the family's 1533-position model. The record is from RNAcentral.
AACGAACGCUGGCGGCGUGCCUAACACAUGCAAGUCGAGCGGUAACAGGCCCUUGGGUGCUGACGAGUGGCGGAUGGGUGAGUAAUACUUAGGAAUCUACCCUGUAGUGGGGGACAACCCGGGAACUCGGGCUAAUACCGCAUACGCUCUACGGAGGAAAGCGGGGACCGCAAGGCCUCGCGCUAUUGGAUGAGCCUAAGCCCGAUUAGCUAGUUGGUGGGGUAAUGGCCUACCAAGGCAAUGAUCGGUUAGCUGGUCUGAGAGGACGACCAGCCACACUGGGACUGAGACACGGCCCAGACUCCUACGGGAGGCA